GGAAGUCCUCGUGUUGCAU
This 19-nucleotide small nuclear RNA is filed under the name Arabidopsis thaliana (thale cress). RNAcentral's name for it is "snRNA_12760". The record is from RNAcentral. Lineage: Eukaryota; Viridiplantae; Streptophyta; Magnoliopsida; Brassicales; Brassicaceae.